GAUUUUUCGGACUACAGUUCAUAAUAACUACAAAUCUGACGUUUUCCUGGCAUGUAAAAUAUAGAAUCGUAUAAACUCCAGGAAAACGUCAAAAAUCCGAUUUUUGGACUAUAUGAACUGAUGAAUAGAGCUGUCGCAUAAAAACGAUUAAAAACGUUAAUGAAAAGGUUGAGUAUAAUUUUCUGUAUUAAAUGCAUGAAGAUCUGGGCAAUUUUUAAGAAACAGUUCUAUAACUAAUAAAUUUAAAUGUAGAUCUUGUUUAUAUCCAUUUUUAGGGUAAAAUACAGAAAGACGGGCAAUAUUAUUUGUUGGAGGAGAGUUUGGCUGCAAUUUUUCUGUCAGAAGAUGAUCCAGAGACAAAAAGGGUCAUUAGGGAGGCAAUGCGUGCAUCAACUUCUGGGGAAUCAACUUCUCCCAGUGGAUGUGAGAUCCCCCCUUCGGAUUCACGCUUAGCUUCACAGGAAUUUGCAUCUGGCCGUUCUACACCCUCCAGUGUCUCAACUUCCAGCUCUGACUCACAGAGCACAAUGCAUGUUUUGACGGAGAGUGAAGAAAAA
Saccostrea cuccullata (small rock oyster) is the source of this 557-nucleotide long non-coding RNA. RefSeq lists it as uncharacterized. NCBI's taxonomy places the organism in Eukaryota, Metazoa, Mollusca, Bivalvia, Ostreida, Ostreidae. The transcript has 3 exons. The record is from RefSeq and is a predicted model, not a curated record.